AUUCCAGAUCAUCACCCCUCUAAGUUCAGGCCCCAGACUACUCUGAUUCAAAUAAAUCAGGUGGCAAGUCGGGAAUGACAGCAACUCGCAUCAGGGCCUGGCGGUGUCUAUGAAAUGCUCCAGGUGACCUUCUCCAGAAGGCACUUUGGUUUCCGCCGGGGAGCAGCGUGGCCUCCUGAGCCGGUUCCCCGCCGCGUGCCGGGGAAUGCACCACCCGGGAGGAGAACCCCGCGGCUCCGGCACGAGGGUGUGCCCCGACACUGUCUUCCACUCAAGAGCUCUGCGACUCUCCUGCCACCUGCCAACCCCGACCACCUCCUCCGGGCUGCAACUCCACCCCGCACCCGGGCUGCUGCUCCGGCUCCUCGGGUCUGUGCCCGCCGCCCGAGUGACCUCCCGCCGGGGCCCGGGCGGCUCGCCCUGGCCGGAGGGGCCGGAAAAGGCCGAGAGGCCUGACCUCCCGUGGGGCUUCCCUUCCUUCCUCCUGGGCAGCGCAGCCUGGAGCCAGCAGCUCUGCACCGGCCGGGCCUGCUGGGGCGAAAAGCCCCUUACCUAUCUUCACGACCGCAUCCGCCAGACACCGGUCCCACUUCCUGCCGAGCUCCGACUCAGACAUGUUCCCCACCCGCGCCUCCAGCUUUCCUCUCGGCCGGCCCCCGCGCUCCGACCCCUGAAAGUCUCGCGAGAGCUGGAAACAAGUCCCAGGUCAGGAAGGCAGGCGCAGACGCUCCAGAUAUCGCGAGAUGAUCCGCUGCUUCCAUCCCUUCCGGUUUUUUCAGUUGGUCGUCAAGGUGACGAGUUGUCUGGAGGCUCGAGGUGACCCUGACCUUGGGGCUGCGCCUAUGGGUUUGCGAGGCUGACAGUUUCCUAGGCGUCACCCCAAGCCGUGACCAGGCCUUUCCUCCUCACCAAAGUGCGACAUUGGCCCUGGAAAUCCCCCGGGCAAGAGAGGGUACAGACUUGAUUUAUUCAUUCAUUAACGUACUCACCUUCACUUUCCCUACUCACUCUCUCAUUCGUUCACUGGUUUCUUGCAUUGGAAUUCCCGCCUGAACCACUAACACCGAAACUGCUCUGGGAAAGAUUACCUACCGCCAAAUCAAAUGGACUCUUUUCUGACCUCUGUACCGCAUUCCACACAAUUUUCCCUCCCUCUGAUCCUCCCUGGCUCCUCUAUUCGUUUCACUCCCGGUAACGCCACUCUUUCCUCUUCUCCCCAUCUGCUGUUGUCUGUUGGUUUCCUCCAGGGCUGCCUUUUCUCUGCCAGCUGUUUAAGGACUGUUGGUUCGCAAGCUUCCAUCAAUUCUCUUUUCACUGUACAGACUCUCCCUGAGUAAUUGCAAACACUGCCAAAUUAUAUCUCCAGGUAAAACGUCUACCUCAGGCCUCCUAUCCAUGUAUAUAUUUACACACCCACCCACACACACACACACAUACACAUACAUACACAGGGUGCCCUCUGUAUCUGUGGGUUUUGCAUCCAUGGAUUUAACCAACCAUGGACCAGAAACAUUUUUGAAUCAAAUAAAAAAUAAUGCAAAAUUUAAAAUACAGUACAACUAUUUACCUAGGAUUUACAUUGUAUUAGGUAUUAUAAGUAACCUAGAGAUGAUUUAAAGUAUAUGGGAGCCAGCGCAGUGGCAUGCGACCGUAGUCCCAGCUACUUGGGAGGCUGAGAUGGGAGGAUUGCUUGAGACUAGGAGUUCGACUUCAUCUCUUUAAAAAAAAAUAAGUAAUUUUAAAAAAGGAUAUGUAAGCAUGUGUGUAGGUUGUAUGCAAAUACCACGCCAUUUUAUAUAUGGGACUUGAGCAUCCUGCAUUUUGGUAACUGCGAGAUCCUGAAACCAAAUGCCCACAGCUAUCAAGAGAGAUUGUAUAUCCAGCCUACUGGCUAGUGUCAUUGAUUUUAGUCUUCCAUCCUACCAACAAAUAGAAAUCUGACCACGUUAUGCCUCUGAUUAGAAGCUGUCAAUGAAGGCCGAGAGCAGUGGCUCACACCUGUAAUCCCAACACUCUGGGAGGCUGAGGCGGGAGGAUUGUUUGAGGCCAGUAGUUCAAGACCAGCCUAGGCAGCAUAGUGAGACUCCUGUCUCUACAAAAAAUUUAAAAAAUUAGCCAGGCUAAUGUGAUGUGUGCCUUUAGUCCCAGCUACUUAGGAGGCUGAGGUAGGAGGAUCACUUGAGCCUGGGAAGUGGAGGCUACACUGAGCCAUGUUCAUGCCACUGCACUCCAGCCUGGGCAUCAGAGUGAUACCCUAUCACAAAAGAAAAAAAAAAAAAGCUGUCAAUGACUCCCAUUCAUACACUGGAUCUAUCCAAGCUUCAACACUGCACUGAUUCUAGGAAGCCUAGUCAGAUAGAGCUUAGAGCUGCCUUCCCCUUCUCAUUGUCCCACUACCCUGCCUACCCGCAUUGAUUUCUCUAUCUAGUACUGAAACAUCUGGUUGUAGAUAUUAUCUGCUAGUAGAACUAGAAGUUGCCCCUUCGUCUUCAUACUUCCAGUCAGAGCACAAUGCCUUGGAUAGUAGGGUCUUCUAUGAAAUAUUUGUUGAACUGAAUUGAAUUUAUUCACCUAUUUAUUUGUUUAUUUAUUUAUUGAGAGAGAGUCGCGCUCUGUUGCCCAGGCUGGAGUGCAGUGGCACGAUCUCGGCUCACUGCAACCUCUGCCUACUGGGUUUGAGCAAUUCUUCUGCCUCAGCCUCCAAAAUAGCUGGGAUUACAGGCGCCCACCACCACGCCUGGCUAACUUUUUGUAUUUUUUUAGUAGAGAUGGGGUUUCGCCAUAUUGGCCAGGCUGGUCUUGACUCCUGGCCUCAAGUGAUCCACCCACCUUGGCCUCCCAAAGUGCUGGGAUUACAGGCAUCGUUCAACUAUUUAUUUGCAACUAUGACAGCAAAACUCUGUUGUAUCAGAUCUUGCUACGACAGCCUCUUCCUUCAAGAUAACUUCUAUGACCACCCUUCCCUUCUCC
RNAcentral lists this long non-coding RNA (2970 nucleotides) under Homo sapiens (human). RNAcentral's name for it is "non-protein coding lnc-TMCO4-1:3". Lineage: Eukaryota; Metazoa; Chordata; Mammalia; Primates; Hominidae. The record is from RNAcentral.